UCACUGUAGUCACUCUUGACUUCAGCUACCUUCUAUGUGACCCAUACUUGCUGUCUUUUUUAUUCGGCUUCUCUAGUUCUUUUUAGGGGGUGGAGUGGAGAGGGGUUUACAUACAACCGAGGCAAAGUGGUUUAGGAUUGAAUCGCUGAGGCAUUCUUAUCAUUUGAUAUAUCCAAGUCUAUAGCCUAUUUCCGGUUCACUCGAAGCUUCUCAUCUUCAUAGCUCUACUCCAUUCGUUGUUCUGGUCUGGUUCCCUUAUGAUUUGGGUUCGUUGAGCUCUUGUGAGUGAAAUACCUUGGUCAAUUUGAGCGGAACUACCUCGUAUGCAUUGAGUCACCAUUCAAUUCUACAAAGGGGUAUCAGAGCCAUUGAAGCUCGAUUUAGGAGUUGAUUUUCGAAUUUUGGGUGCUGAAAAUUCAGGUUGUCACUGGUUUUUCGGAUUUGUGAUCUAAAAAUUUAUAUUCACGUGUAUUCGGUGCAAUUAAGGCAUUGUUUAUUGAUUUUGCAAAAGGAAUUAAUUUUUAAAAUAAAAUUUGCAUCUUUCAUUGUUACUGACCACAUAUAGGUUCGCUCUAAUAAAUUGGUUGAAACUUUUACAUUACUACAAUAGUAGGUCAUUGUGUAAGGUUACCAAUAGGAUUGUGACCUUGCUUGCUACUAAAAUUUAGGAUUAUUUACCUAAAUUGCGAUAUUAUCAUAUUUGUGGAUAUUUAGAUGUUGUUUAAUAUUUUGCAUUGUUGUUGAGUGCUUUGUGAUAUUAGAAUUGUUAUCUUGACCUUACCCGCUCGACAAUUCCUUUGAGAUUGAGGUUCGAAUCUCACGAAAAUCCUAGGUAUUUAGAC
Olea europaea var. sylvestris is the source of this 842-nucleotide long non-coding RNA. RefSeq lists it as uncharacterized. Lineage: Eukaryota; Viridiplantae; Streptophyta; Magnoliopsida; Lamiales; Oleaceae. The record is from RefSeq and is a predicted model, not a curated record. The transcript has 3 exons.